UGGAGAGUUUGAUCCUGGCUCAGAACGAACGCUGGCGGCAGGCUUAACACAUGCAAGUCGAGCGCCUCGCAAGAGGAGCGGCAGACGGGUGAGUAACACGUGGGAAUCUACCCAUCCCUGCGGAACAACUCCGGGAAACUGGAGCUAAUACCGCAUACGCCCUACGGGGGAAAGAUUUAUCGGGGAUGGAUGAGCCCGCGUUGGAUUAGCUAGUUGGUGGGGUAAAGGCCUACCAAGGCGACGAUCCAUAGCUGGUCUGAGAGGAUGAUCAGCCACAUUGGGACUGAGACACGGCCCAAACUCCUACGGGAGGCAGCAGUGGGGAAUAUUGGACAAUGGGCGCAAGCCUGAUCCAGCCAUGCCGCGUGAGUGAUGAAGGCCUUAGGGUUGUAAAGCUCUUUCACCGAUGAAGAUAAUGACGGUAGUCGGAGAAGAAGCCCCGGCUAACUUCGUGCCAGCAGCCGCGGUA
Molecule: ribosomal RNA, 469 nt
Filed under: alpha proteobacterium 10819
Lineage: Bacteria; Pseudomonadati; Pseudomonadota; Alphaproteobacteria
Description: bacterial SSU rRNA
Rfam family: Bacterial small subunit ribosomal RNA
Source: RNAcentral